Molecule: ribosomal RNA, 255 nt
Filed under: uncultured Actinomycetales bacterium
Lineage: Bacteria; Bacillati; Actinomycetota; Actinomycetes; Actinomycetales
Description: partial 16S ribosomal RNA
Rfam family: Bacterial small subunit ribosomal RNA
Source: RNAcentral
CUUUUGUGGGGUGCUGAGUGGCGAACGGGUGAGUAACACGUGAGUAACCUGCCCUUGACUUUGGGAUAACUUCAGGAAACUGGGGCUAAUACCGGAUAGGAGCUCCUGCUGCAUGGUGGGGGUUGGAAAGUUUCGGCGGUUGGGGAUGGACUCGCGGCUUAUCAGCUUGUUGGUGGGGUAGUGGCUUACCAAGGCUUUGACGGGUAGCCGGCCUGAGAGGGUGACCGGCCACAUUGGGACUGAGAUACGGCCCAG